GACGAACGCUGGCGGCGUGCUUAACACAUGCAAGUCGAACGGAAAGGCCCUGCUUGUGUGGGGUGCUCGAGUGGCGAACGGGUGAGUAACACGUGAGUAACCUGCCCUUGACUUUGGGAUAACUUCAGGAAACUGGGGCUAAGAUCGGAUAGGAGCCCCUGUAGCAUUGUGGGCGUUGGAAAGUUUCGGCGGUUGGGGAUGGACGCGCGGCUUAUCAGCUUGUUGGUGGGGUAGUGGCUUACCAAGGCUUUGACGGGUAGCCGGCCUGAGAGGGUGACCGGCCACAUUGGGACUGAGAUACGGCCCAGACUCCUACGGGAGGCAGCAGUGGGGAAUAUUGCACAAUGGGCGGAAGCCUGAUGCAGCAACGCCGCGUGCGGGAUGACGGCCUUCGGGUUGUAAACCGCUUUCGCCUGUGACGAAGCGUGAGUGACGGUAAUGGGUAAAGAAGCACCGGCUAACUACGUG
RNAcentral lists this ribosomal RNA (468 nucleotides) under uncultured bacterium. Its description in RNAcentral is "partial 16S ribosomal RNA". It matches the Rfam family "Bacterial small subunit ribosomal RNA", at positions 28 to 507 of the family's 1533-position model. The record is from RNAcentral.